CAGAAAACAACUCUCUAUGUAUUCAAAUCGUAACAAGUAUUUAUAAAAGUUUUGAUCUCACUGUUGCAGCACUGGAGCAGCAGUUGACAGCCUUUGCACGGCUGCUGGAGACCAAAAGGCAGCAGCAGCAAGUGUUGCUAUGGAGCAAGAGAAGGAGAAUCUAGCAGGGGUAUGCGUCAAGGAUAAUGACCGGGAGUCAUCACUUCCAUCUGACGAAUUCAGUGGGAUGGAUCAAUGGCUCCACGGCAUUUAUGGGGAGGGUGAAAUACCGGAGUGCAUACACGAGAUGGUGGAUUCUGAGUAAGCCGAAAAGCAGUGCCAUCUCGCCCUUUUGGAUGAGGAGGAGGAAAUACUGGAUUGUGUGGGAGAACUAGUAGAAACACUGACUGAACUGCGUAAUCCUUGA
Schistocerca serialis cubense is the source of this 406-nucleotide long non-coding RNA. RefSeq lists it as uncharacterized. NCBI's taxonomy places the organism in Eukaryota, Metazoa, Arthropoda, Insecta, Orthoptera, Acrididae. The transcript has 3 exons. The record is from RefSeq and is a predicted model, not a curated record.